UGAACAACCCAUGUACAGAUAGGGAAACUGAGGCAGAGAUUGUGUAGCCACUCACAGCCGGCUGGUGGGUUGCAGAGUGAGGAUCUGAACAUGAGCAAGUUGGGCCCUGGAGCACCACGUCUCUCCCUGUGAGGUACCGCCACCUUUCCAGAACCUUCCCUGUGUCCUCCAGGGAGUUCUGGGCUGAGUGCAGUUACUCCUGCAGUCCACUGGCCACUGUUCUCUUCCCUGGCAAGUCUUAGAGUUUAGGGAGUGGAGGGGGCUUGGCAGUUUUGCUAGAUUAUAUGCUUAAGCAAUGAAACCUUUAUAACAGUUGUAAAGAAUUUGCUUUGCAAGCCAUCAGACCUUCAGUCAAAUUUAAUGAGCUAUGGAAGCUGCUUGCUGGAGUUUGGAGAACACAGGGUGAAAUGUCAAAAGAACGGGGCUAGGUCUCAACCCCCCACAGCCAGCCCACACUUCCAUGGAAGCCUCUCUACCUAAGAUGAGGUCAGGUGGGGACUUGGCCCAUCUCCCCGCUGGGGUGUGGGAUGAUCCCUGAGAUAAUCCCAGGACUGGGCUUAGAAAGAGCUGCUGUGGCAAAUACAAGUCACUGUGAAUGGCAGCCUCCGACCAAACUCACUUAGAGAACCCUCCUGGGGGCUUGGGUCACACUGUGUUGGGCGUGGGUCACACAUCAUCAAGUUCCACCAAAAUUAUCAACCCAUUGCUAUGUUUCCUGUAUUCAGAUUUUAUUCAGCCAGUUGUGUCUUUCAGGAUAAAUAUGAUAUGAGGUGCUUUUUGUUUCAUUUGAAGUUAUUCCCCGUUUAGGUCACUGGCAUUUGUUAUUAGUGGUGCUGUCAUCCAUACAUAAGAUCGUGUUGUGUCUAAACCCAACAGUGACGUGAUGCUCAGUAGCCGAGGCCACUUCGUUAGCAUCUGACAUCAGUGAAUUAGCCAUCCCGAUGCAUGACCACAAUUCCGUGACACACACAUCACUCCCGGCGAGACUCAUCCCACCAAAUUGGUAGAAAGUCCCAUUUUGCUGAUAAAACGGUAACAGGUUUGAGUACCUGAAAGAGCACAUAGAUUGAAAACAAAAAGGGAAAGCAGAACUCAUUUGGAGUCCUAAAUGCGACCCAUCCAUUCCAGGUGCUUAUGUUCUGAGUCUUCUGGGAGAGAAACAGCUAGUUCAAGUAAAACGUCAGAGCAGUGAGUCACCAACGACCUUCAUCCGAUCCUUUCAUUACCUGCAUUUACAGCGUGGAAGGACGGGACCCGAAGAAGCAGCCAAACAGCCACCCUGCUGGUGGGAUCCCUGAGGACCCCCAGUUAACCCGCCGAGUGGACUUUGCAGUGUGUGCUCAGUGGGUGGGGCAUGGAGGUGGCUCACGCUGCCUCAGCCUACCAUGAAGGGUUCUGGAAGAGUGGGUGAACUGGACUUUGACGAGCCUGUAGAAUGCCAUGCAGGAUGGAGCAGUGACAAAGACAGCAGAAAACACGCGCAGGGACAGCCAAGAUGCAGCAGGUGUGACCGGGGAGGUGGGUGUGGGGAAUGGCUGCAUUCCAGAUGAACAACAGAAAACAAAGCCAUGACUUUGGCGGGGUCUCACAGUGGAGGAUUCAGAGGACAGUCUGAUUGCAACACAUGUUGGUGUUUCUUGGUUACCUGGAGGCCAAUAAAAGAACAGAAAUUCUGGGCCGGGUGCGGAGGCUCACGUCUGUAAUCCCAGGACUAUGGGAGGCUGAGGCAGGCGGAUCACCUGAGGUCAGGAAUUUGAGACCAGCCUGACCAACACGGAGAAACCCCAUCUCUACUAAAAAUACAAACAAUUAGCCUGGCAUGGUGGCGCAUGCCUGUAAUCCCAGCUAUUCAGGAGGCUGAGGCAGGAGAAUCACUGGAACCCGGGAGGCAGAGGUUGUGGUGAGCCGAGAUCUCACCACUGCAUUCCAGCCUGGGUGACAGAGUGAGACUCCAUCUCAAAAAAAAAAAACAAACACACACUCUCAACAGCAGUGCUUGGAGGUCAUGUAAAGUCAAGGUCCGUGUUUUCCCAACUGGGCUCUAAGGGAUUUAGGGGGAUUCCACUCACCCCUCACAGAGGAGAGAGAAAGGCUGUAGGAGACGGGCUCUAAGCCCUCCUCACCCAUGGCAUCUCUGAUUUGACCUGUUGUACAUUUCCGGCUUCCAUAUUGGAUGUUUGUGGUAUAAGGAAUUUCACAGCUGGAACAUGUUGAAAAUCCACACAGCACAACCAAGUUGUGCUGAAGAGUUGAGAACCAGAGACGGCAAAGACACCAUUUUCCCAAGCUAAGGCUCUCACACACACAGCCACAACCUCCUCACUUCACCCCAGCCACCAACGGCAGUGACGGGAACACCGAAGGGAUGACCACAAAAAUGCCCCUUGGUUCAGGAAUCUGAAUUUGUAGGAAAGCCUGACUCUUAUCUGGCAAAGAAAAAAAGGGACAGUGGUUUUCCUGAAGGUGACGAGAAACACACAGUGUAAAUCCCAUGUCCUGGGACGAAAGGUAUUUACGCAAAUCUGCCUGGGUCUCUGUUGCCAGGGAUACUACUCACUGGGCACCCGACUGGCCCCAUCAUGAAGCUUCUGACAGCAGGAAAACACCAGUCAGCCCUGUAACGAUCAGCCACAAAGUCAUCCACCAGGGCGAUUCAGGUCAUCCACCCCACCUCAAUUGUGUUUGUUAGGGACAAAUAUUUAGAAGUUUCAUGUUUGUGGGAUUAUCUCAAUGUCUUUGCAGUCUGGAGGGUGUCUUUACAGAGCUGAAUGAGUCAAGUGCCUAUUCUGAUGCCAUAGAAUCAUAUAAUUAAAAAGGUCCUUAAAAGAUGACGUCACUCCAGCUCAAUGGGUUGGGGGAUCUCCUCUGGGAGAAAUGUUUUGGAUCUAGACAGAGGGGCAUUACACAACAUUGUCAAUGUAGUAAAUGCCACUAAAUUUGCACCUGAAAAUGGUUAAUUUUUUGUUGUGUGAAUUUCAUCUCAAUUUUUAAAAAAGAUUAUAUCGUUCAGUCUUUUAUUUUGAAGAUGUGGGAACAAGUAGUGGGAGGAUGGUAUCCAAAGCCCACUCAGGGUGCAGGCAGGUCCCUAACACACCGAUCACCCUGCCCAGACUUCAACCUAAUCAUUCCCGCUUCGCUACAUGGCCUGUGCUGUCGUAAGGCAGUGAGCUCAGGGCUGAAUGUACCCAGCAGAGAAAAUUCAUAUCCUCAAAAACUCUCUCCCCAGAAGUUUUGUGAUUUUGUUUGUUCAUGUAUUUUUUCCCACAAUAAGGAAAUAAAAAUGUAUCUAGACUUACA
This 3297-nucleotide long non-coding RNA is filed under the name Homo sapiens (human). Its description in RNAcentral is "HSALNT0269566". The record is from RNAcentral. Lineage: Eukaryota; Metazoa; Chordata; Mammalia; Primates; Hominidae.